Long non-coding RNA from Mytilus trossulus (common blue mussel), 3787 nucleotides. RefSeq lists it as uncharacterized. The record is from RefSeq and is a predicted model, not a curated record. Lineage: Eukaryota; Metazoa; Mollusca; Bivalvia; Mytilida; Mytilidae. The transcript is spliced from 7 exons.
CAAAAUAUUUUAUGACAGAGACGUAUUCAAGGACAGACCUGAAAUAAUCUAGGUUCUUCUCAUAAGCUUUACGAAAAUGAUUAACAGAUCAUGAUUUUGUACACCUUAGCUAAUUACUAAAUGGCAGAACCAGUAUAUAGUGACGAAAACAGUAGUGAUGUCGAAAUUGAUUAAAUUAAAUCAACCUGAAAAGUUUUCGCUGUUGUUGUUUUUCAUUUUGGUAGGCGGCAUAUCACUUAUAUGGUAUUACCAAUAGUAUUUCAACUUCUGCAAAAAACAGUCUAUUUGAAGAUGUGUGCUAUAAGGAUGAUUGCCGUUAUAAUUAUUAUUGAUUUCUAAUCACCUAUAAGAGUCAUCAAACGGAUAUAAAAAAGAACUAAAUGUGAGAUAUGGGACGAAUAACUGGUCACUUCAUUGAUGAAUUUAUCCCGAACCACUUAUCUAUAGAUGGACUUGUCUACAAUGAGCGAACCCGCCCAGUCAAGUGAAAUAAAUCAAGUAAUAAUUGCACUCUUAAUUAAUAUAUCAUAAAUAUUAUGUAUAUACACUCAGUCCUUAAUUUACUUUAGUAUUACAUUUUGGUGAGUAAUAAAUUAAAAAAGUUUAUCUACACACUUUAACAGAAUGACUGUUUACACCAUGAAAUUUUCACUUAGUACAGGCACAUAUGUGUAAUCUAAACAGUUUAAAAGCCUGCAAACACCUCGGUAAAUAAUUGUUUCAUCUAGUUGUGUUUUUAAAAGUUAAAAACCUUGAUGGAUUUUGAUGAACAUUUUGUUUCCUUGCUACAGAAAAUAGUGAAAUAAACACACACACCUGUGUUUUUAUUGAUUCAAUUUACACUAUUUAAAUAACUUUUGUUGAGUAGAUUUCUAUUAUCCAGAUACAAUACAAUCAUUCCCUAAGGGGAACAUCUCAAAGAUUUCACAUGACUUUGUUUAUUUUUACACCAUUUAUGACAAGGAAAGAAAAUGUUAAUCACAAUCCACAAUUUUGUUUUUUUCUUUUUAAAACACAAAAAUGAUUACAAUUCUAUAUAUCUAAGUGCUGCCAGGAUUUUAAACUUGUAACAUUACACAGUUUUGUCUGCAUUCAGAGAUAAUUUUAUGGUGUAAACACAGCCUUUUUUUUUAUUGAAGUGUAUAGGUGAACCUUUAAUGAAACUGCGAUGAACAGGGUUGAGUGUGUUAUAAUAAAAUUAUUAUAUGGAGAGAAAAAAAAAAACACGAAAAAAAUAUUAGGAAAAUGAAAAAAAUAAAUAAAAACAUGAUGAUAGUUACUAAUGAAAUAGAAAUUAUCAAUUGAUAGGUAUCAUCAAUAGUUUUGGAAAAUUCAUCUGAUUGCUCAACUUUGUGUCGUCUGUAAUAUACUUAUAAAAAUAAUAUGUAAAAGAUGAAUUAAAAAUGGUGGAAGAGAGUGUCGUUGAAAUGGUAGAAGAGAGUGUCUUUGAUAUGGUGGAAGAGAGUGACUUUGAUAUGGUAAUAGAACGCAUUUCGUGUGAAGGAAAUGAAACAUCUAUUCAAAAUCUAGAGCACGAUGAUUAUAUUACCUUACUUGUAAAAUCAAUUAGAAAAAAAGACAAACCUCGCAGUUAUUUUUGUGUUAAUGGCUGCAUAAUGAUUGGUAUCAAAAGAACGAAUUGGCAAUACAAGCGAAAGGUCAAAAAUUUACAUUGACUUUAACUAUUCUUAACAUAAAGCAAAAACGAAAGAAUUGAAGGAAUAUCAGAAGACUUUAUGGAUAAACAAGUUUUAAAAAAAUUCUAUCACUGUCCAAGAAAAAUUGUGCAAACCUUAAGAUUGAAAGUCACAGGACUAUAAUAAUUUAAUUAAGGAACAUAAAACUGAAAUGACAGGAAUCUGCGCAGUUUGAAUGGUGCAUAUUAGCAAGUUUUGCGAAUUAUCCAUAUACUAGCAUUUCUGCAAAACGGUUUGCAGAAGCUGGAUUUCAUUAUAAGGGAAACGCAAAUGAAGUCGUCUGCUUUUGUUGUAAAUUAAAACAAAAAAACUGGAGGUCAAACCAGAGCCCAGGACAUAUACAUAAAGACAAUGCACCUCAAUACUAUUGUGGUGUGCAAAUCUUAAAUAUGAUAUCAAUAAACAAUGAUAUAGAGACGACAUAUAGUUUUGUUGGUUCAUGGGAAAACUCCACGGAAGCGCCAAAAAUAUCGAUAAUAAAAGAAAAUAAAGAUGAAACAUCUUUGAAUUCAGCAAGGAAAAAGAAAACAAAAGAAACAAAAGAAACAUAGUCAGGAACAAUGUAGCUAUGGACCGGAAAAGAUUUACUAUUGAACAAGGAGAACAAAUUGUGAUUUCCUACAUUUUUGUAGCUUGUCACCCUAACAACAUAACUGGUAAAUUCCAGAAAACAAUAGAGGUCUGUAGUCAUCACGGCAAUCACCACGCACAGCAGUCCCUGUGACUCAACUCACUUCAAAUAUGGAGACAUUGAGCAUAGGUGUUUGUCUAGAGAAGCCCAAAUAUCAAAAUAUGUUAUAAAGACAUCUCGAUUGUCAUCAUAUGCAAAUUGGCCGUAGAUGAGUUAGUGACUGCAGGUGCCUUUUAUACCGAUGUGGUCUGUGAGGAUGAGAUCUUCGGGAUUUCCAAUGGACAGAGCAUGCGCGGUGGUUUCCGAAAUGCCAAUAUGCAAAACAGCGUAUGGAAGAAAAGUUCAUUGAAGAUGUGCAUCAUGUAAAGGAUCCUGAAAAUAUUUCAAAUAUAUAACAACUAGUUUGUUGUUUGAAAUAAUUAAUACAAAAGGAGAAGAGAACAAAACAAACGGCUUUUAAUCAUCCUGUUCAAAGUAUUCAUCAAUCAGCAUAUGAAGCCAAAAAUCAUAUCCAGGUUACACCUUAGACGAACAGACAAAUAUUGACCCAUACAUUGAAUUUCUGUGGAUUGUUGUAAAUGCUUUUUCUAUGAAGGAGGUAUAAGAAGAUGUGAGAAGGGAGAUUUGCCUUAGACAGAUUAUGAUUGAUGGUAUCUCAAGACUUAGUGCCCAUUUGUUAUACAAUACAAAGGAGAGAAAUUUAUUGAGGAUGUACAAAAGGGAAAAAAAACAAGAAGUUACGAAAAAGUGUGGACGAAAAAGAUCACAACUAGUGAAUUAAAUGGGUAGACAAAUAAUCCAACAGGAAAAACAAUUUUUGAUUUAGGAACCGAAUUUGUAGUUGUAAAGACAGCCUAUACAAGAUUGAAAGAAUCUGGAAUAUAUGAUAUUGGGGCAGCGCUAUUAUCAGAGACAAUUUGUGAAAAAGAAGAUAGUGAAAAUCAACUUGCCUCUUUUGACCAGACUAUUGAUAGUUGUAGCACAACAUAAGAAAAAAAAAGCAGACGAUACAAAACAUUGCAACAAAACACCAGACACCAUUGAAAAAAUAGAUCCAACACUUGAAUAAUCUAACAUGAGUCUGGAAGAGAAGAACCGGAAUUUAAAAGAUCAACAAACCUGUAAGAUUUGUCUAGCCGAACCGGUUGCCUUGGUUUUUCUCCCAUGUGACCACAUGGCUGCAUGCAUUUAUUGCGCUCCAGCGUUGAGAAGGUAUCCAAUCUGUUGAGCUUUUAUUAAAGGAACUGUUAAAGCUAUGAUGUGCUGAAAUAUUUCCAGAACGAUUUAACACUUUAGAAAUAAUUCUAAUUAUCAAAUGAAUUCAAAUGUCCCUUUAUGUAAAUAGAUUUUUUUUAAAAAGCUGUGAAGUGUGCGGAUUUUGGAAGAUGUAAAGAUGUAAAAUACAAUUUCCUGAACCUAAAAUGUAUUAUGAUAAGAAAGAUGUUUAUAUUGUUGAUUU